RNAcentral lists this ribosomal RNA (1530 nucleotides) under Weissella confusa. RNAcentral describes it as "bacterial SSU rRNA". It matches the Rfam family "Bacterial small subunit ribosomal RNA". Lineage: Bacteria; Bacillati; Bacillota; Bacilli; Lactobacillales; Lactobacillaceae. The record is from RNAcentral.
CCUGGCUCAGGAUGAACGCUGGCGGCGUGCCUAAUACAUGCAAGUCGAACGCUUUGUGGUUCAACUGAUUUGAAGAGCUUGCUCAGAUAUGACGAUGGACAUUGCAAAGAGUGGCGAACGGGUGAGUAACACGUGGGAAACCUACCUCUUAGCAGGGGAUAACAUUUGGAAACAGAUGCUAAUACCGUAUAACAAUGACAACCGCAUGGUUGUUAUUUAAAAGAUGGUUCUGCUAUCACUAAGAGAUGGUCCCGCGGUGCAUUAGCUAGUUGGUAAGGUAAUGGCUUACCAAGGCGAUGAUGCAUAGCCGAGUUGAGAGACUGAUCGGCCACAAUGGGACUGAGACACGGCCCAUACUCCUACGGGAGGCAGCAGUAGGGAAUCUUCCACAAUGGGCGAAAGCCUGAUGGAGCAACGCCGCGUGUGUGAUGAAGGGUUUCGGCUCGUAAAACACUGUUGUAAGAGAAGAAUGACAUUGAGAGUAACUGUUCAAUGUGUGACGGUAUCUUACCAGAAAGGAACGGCUAAAUACGUGCCAGCAGCCGCGGUAAUACGUAUGUUCCAAGCGUUAUCCGGAUUUAUUGGGCGUAAAGCGAGCGCAGACGGUUAUUUAAGUCUGAAGUGAAAGCCCUCAGCUCAACUGAGGAAUUGCUUUGGAAACUGGAUGACUUGAGUGCAGUAGAGGAAAGUGGAACUCCAUGUGUAGCGGUGAAAUGCGUAGAUAUAUGGAAGAACACCAGUGGCGAAGGCGGCUUUCUGGACUGUAACUGACGUUGAGGCUCGAAAGUGUGGGUAGCAAACAGGAUUAGAUACCCUGGUAGUCCACACCGUAAACGAUGAGUGCUAGGUGUUUGAGGGUUUCCGCCCUUAAGUGCCGCAGCUAACGCAUUAAGCACUCCGCCUGGGGAGUACGACCGCAAGGUUGAAACUCAAAGGAAUUGACGGGGACCCGCACAAGCGGUGGAGCAUGUGGUUUAAUUCGAAGCAACGCGAAGAACCUUACCAGGUCUUGACAUCCCUUGACAACUCCAGAGAUGGAGUGUUCCCUUCGGGGACAAGGUGACAGGUGGUGCAUGGUUGUCGUCAGCUCGUGUCGUGAGAUGUUGGGUUAAGUCCCGCAACGAGCGCAACCCUUAUUACUAGUUGCCAGCAUUCAGUUGGGCACUCUAGUGAGACUGCCGGUGACAAACCGGAGGAAGGUGGGGAUGACGUCAAAUCAUCAUGCCCCUUAUGACCUGGGCUACACACGUGCUACAAUGGCGUAUACAACGAGUUGCCAACCCGCGAGGGUGAGCUAAUCUCUUAAAGUACGUCUCAGUUCGGAUUGUAGGCUGCAACUCGCCUACAUGAAGUCGGAAUCGCUAGUAAUCGCGGAUCAGCACGCCGCGGUGAAUACGUUCCCGGGUCUUGUACACACCGCCCGUCACACCAUGAGAGUUUGUAACACCCAAAGCCGGUGGGGUAACCUUCGGGAGCCAGCCGUCUAAGGUGGGACAGAUGAUUAGGGUGAAGUCGUAACAAGGGAACCAA